AUGGAGAUCACCAAGGUCGACCUCCGCGGACUGGAGCCUGGCGGCCCAGGCUGGGGGGAAGCACGGGACGCGGUGACCGCGUCCAUGUUUGCGCACGGCUUCGUCGUCGUCGCGCACGACGCGCUCGGCCCGGAGCUCCGUCAGGGGCUAUUCGGUCGCGCCAUGCCGGAGAUGUUCGCGCUCCCGGUGGAGGCCAAGCAGCGGAACGUCUCCGCCAUGGGGCCGUUCACAGGCUACAUCUCAAACAUCCCCGGCAUGAACUGGGAGAGCCUGUGCCUCUCCGACGUCACCGAUGCCGACCGCGUCCGUGACUUCGCCGACCUCCUGUGGACGCAUGGGAACCCUGCCUUCUGCGACACAAUUGUGUCGGCAGCCAAGAACGUGUUUGAACUCCAGCGGACGGUGGAGAAGAUGGUCCUGGAGGGCCUCGGCGUCCAGGAGGAGCACAUCGACGCGCACUUCGACGCGCUGGCCCACUCCGCCCGGCUGUCGCGCUACGGCGUCCCGCCCGAUUCGCGGACCUGCAUGUCCCUGCAGGCGCACUGCGACGACAGCGUGACCACCACGAUCGUGCAGCACGGGGUGGAAGGCCUGGAGGUGCAGGCCAAGGACGGGAGCUGGCUCGCCGUGCCGCCUGAUCCGGCAACGUUCGCCUUCGUGGCCGGCGAGUUGUUGACGGUCGUGACCAACGGAAGGGUGCCGCCGUGCCUCCACCGUGUCAGAACGCCGAGCAACCGUGAGCGCCUGGCAGUGCUGUUCUCUGCCGGGGGAAGAACGGAGUUGAGCGCGAUGGACGAGGUCGUGGACAAAGACCACCCUCUGGUGUACGGGCCGUGUAAGAACGACGACUACACCAAGUUCCGGCACUCGGAAGAAGGGCGCAAAUUCACUGAUCCAUUGAAGGCUUUCUGUGGGGUAGAGAAGGAUGGAGGAUCGCCCAUGGAGUGA
RNAcentral lists this ribosomal RNA (948 nucleotides) under Triticum aestivum (bread wheat). RNAcentral's name for it is "partial small subunit ribosomal RNA". The record is from RNAcentral. Lineage: Eukaryota; Viridiplantae; Streptophyta; Magnoliopsida; Poales; Poaceae.